UCGCCUGUUUAUCAAAAACAUGGUUUCUUGUGAGAAUAAGAGAUUUGACCUGCCCGCUGAAGAACAUUUGAAGGGCCGCAGUAUUUUGACUGUGCAAAGGUAGCAUAAUCAUUAGUCUUUUAAUUAAAGGCUUGUAUGAAUGGUUGGACGAGGUAAAUUCUGUCUUGAAUUAAAUAGAAAUUGAAUUUAAAUUUUAAGUAAAAAUGCUUAAUUGAUAUUAAGGGACGAGAAGACCCUAUAGAGUUUAAUGUGUAAUUUUUGCAGUAAGUUUAUAAGUAAUGAAUUUAUUAUUAAAGGGUAUGCAUUUGGUUGGGGUGAUGAGAAGAUAAGUAAAACUCUUUUUUGAUUUGAAUUAUAAUAUUAAGUUUUAUGAUCCAUUAUUAUUGAUUAAAAGAUUAAAUUACCUUAGGGAUAACAGCAUAAUUUUCUUUGAGAGUUCAUAUCGAAAGGAAAGAUUAUGACCUCGAUGUUGGAUUAAGAUAAGACUUGGGUGUAGAUGUUCAAGUUCUAGGUCUGUUCGACCUUAAAAUUCUUACAUGAUCUGAGUUCAAACCGG
This 556-nucleotide ribosomal RNA is filed under the name Humbertiella similis. RNAcentral describes it as "partial 16S ribosomal RNA". It matches the Rfam family "Bacterial large subunit ribosomal RNA", at positions 1796 to 2619 of the family's 2925-position model. The record is from RNAcentral. Lineage: Eukaryota; Metazoa; Arthropoda; Insecta; Mantodea; Gonypetidae.